AAGUACACCAUUUCUUGCAUGAAUUUGAAAGAGUGUGGCUGACAGAAUAGCAUCUCACACGAUAGGGCAACUGGUCCGUCACCGACUUUCGGUCCGAAUCGUCUAGAGGUUAGGACAACACGUUGUGGCCGUGUAAACCCAGGUUCGAUUCCUGGUUCGGACAAAUUUUUCUUCGUCUGCUCUGUUCUCGUUUUGAUGUAACCAGAGAUGCUUUUCUUUUUCGUCAUCAAGUCACACGAAAUGCGAGAAUUAUUUUGUGACUUGUAGGCUCUCUCCGUCAUCUAAAGUGUCGAUGCUAAAGAGAUGAUGAAACACGCGACCCUUCCCUGAGGGUUACCUGGGCUACUUGAAGGAUAUUUACUUGCCUGAUGUAGCAUACCUGAUGUAACAUCGAAAUGGGUCUUGGUAUUACAGAUUAUCUUGUCUUUUAUGGGUCAGAGGCGAUCUUUUGCUGUGUUGCGUGUUCAACGAAGCCAGUCUUUCGCUCAACCGUUCACAAGCUCGAGAAGUUUUCCGCCCUUGACAAAGCGUCGUGUCCCCGGUGUGAGGAAGCAAAGGACCACUGAUCCAUAGAUCUUAGCGUCAGUAAAGAGUUUUGUUUUGCUGGUACACUGCCUGCACGACUGCUGUCCUUGGAAGGAACGAACAGGCUGGCAUGUCGGUCCACCUCGUCGCCAGCGUGAGCAGAAUCGUGUUGAAAGUGCCGGGAUUUUGUAACAGUGGAUUCAGAGCAACUCUGGUGGCAUGUGACGAAGUCCCGCCAAGGGUGAGAAGCGGGCGACACACAACGCCUUUCAAGAAAGAAACAGGAAAC
RNAcentral lists this transfer RNA (814 nucleotides) under Toxoplasma gondii VEG. The stretch from base 92 to 163 matches the Rfam family "tRNA". The record is from RNAcentral. Lineage: Eukaryota; Apicomplexa; Conoidasida; Eucoccidiorida; Sarcocystidae.